This 502-nucleotide ribosomal RNA is filed under the name uncultured bacterium. RNAcentral describes it as "partial 16S ribosomal RNA". It matches the Rfam family "Bacterial small subunit ribosomal RNA", at positions 28 to 523 of the family's 1533-position model. The record is from RNAcentral.
GAUGAACGCUAGCGAUAGGCCUAACACAUGCAAGUCGAGGGGCAGCAUAGAGUAGCAAUACCUUGAUGGCGACCGGCGCACGGGUGAGUAACACGUAUGCAACCUACCUACAUCAGGGGAAUAACCCGGAGAAAUUCGGACUAAUACCGCAUAGUACAGGGAUGCCGCAUGGCAAUAUUUGUUAAAGAUUUAUCGGACGUAGAUGGGCAUGCGUUCCAUUAGCUAGUUGAUAAGGUAACGGCUUACCAAGGCAACGAUGGAUAGGGGAACUGAGAGGUUUGUCCCCCAACCUGGAACUGAGACACGGACCAGACUCCUACGGGAGGCAGCAGUGAGGAAUAUGGUCAAUGGACGAGAGUCUGAACCAGCCAAAUCGCGUGAAGGAAGACUGCCCUACGGGUUGUAAACUUCUUUUGUACAGGAAUAAAAGACAUUACGUGUAAUGUAUUGCAUGUACUGUACGAAUAAGCAUCGGCUAACUCCGUGCCAGCAGCCGCGGUAA